GUGAAUCAUCGAAUUUUUGAACGCAAAUUGCACUCUCUUCGGAGAGUAUGCCUGUUUGAGGGUCAGUAUUAAUAAAAAAUCGGUUUGGUUGCAAAUUGUGACGUUUCCGGAGUUUGGGCUAUCUUAACUUUUUUGGUUAAGGGGCUUAAAAUUGACCUUAUUUGCGCAUUUUUAGACGUACAUAAAUUUUUUUUUUAUUCUUCUUUUCUAAUUCCCAAAACCUUAUUAGAUCGGAUCCA
This 239-nucleotide unclassified non-coding RNA is filed under the name Rhizophagus sp. (in: glomeromycetes). RNAcentral's name for it is "partial contains 5.8S ribosomal RNA and internal transcribed spacer 2". The stretch from base 1 to 65 matches the Rfam family "5.8S ribosomal RNA", at positions 84 to 154 of the family's 154-position model. Lineage: Eukaryota; Fungi; Glomeromycota; Glomeromycetes; Glomerales; Glomeraceae. The record is from RNAcentral.